This 414-nucleotide ribosomal RNA is filed under the name uncultured microorganism. RNAcentral describes it as "bacterial SSU rRNA". It matches the Rfam family "Archaeal small subunit ribosomal RNA", at positions 459 to 872 of the family's 1478-position model. The record is from RNAcentral.
CAGCCGCCGCAGUAAUACCGGCGGCCCGAGUGGCGGUCACUAUUAUUUGGCUUAAAGCGUCCGUAGCCGGGUUGGGAAGGCCUCCGGGAAAUCUGGCCGCUUAACGGUCAGAAUGCCGGAGGAUACUCCCAGCCUAGGGAGCGGGGGAGGCCGAGGGGAUUCCCGGAGUAGGGGGGAAAUCCUAUAAUCCCGGGAGGACCACCUGUGGCGAAGGCGCUCGGCUGGAACGCGUCCGACGGUGAGGGACGAAGGCCAGGGGAGCAAACCGGAUUAGAUACCCGGGUAGUCCUGGCUGUAAACGAUGCGGACUUUGUGUCGGACAAGCUAUGAGCUUGUCCGGUGCCGGAGGGAAACCGUUAAGUCCGCCGCCUGGGGAGUACGGCCGCAAGGCUGAAACUUAAAGGAAUUGGCGGG